AGCUUUGCGCAGUGGCAAUAUCGUAGCCGAUGAGGUUAAUCUGAAGCGCGAUUAUUGCUAAUUGAAAACUUUUCCUUUGGGAGCGCAGAGAGCCAUGCCUUGAAAUGCCUCUUCCUGUCAAAUACAGGUGUAU
Molecule: small nuclear RNA, 133 nt
Filed under: Pelodiscus sinensis (Chinese soft-shelled turtle)
Lineage: Eukaryota; Metazoa; Chordata; Testudines; Trionychidae
Description: U4 spliceosomal RNA
Rfam family: U4 spliceosomal RNA
About the family: U4 small nuclear RNA (U4 snRNA) is a component of the major U2-dependent spliceosome. The structure of U4 snRNA from yeast and human has been reported.
Source: Rfam by way of RNAcentral